Molecule: long non-coding RNA, 217 nt
Filed under: Elaeis guineensis (African oil palm)
Lineage: Eukaryota; Viridiplantae; Streptophyta; Magnoliopsida; Arecales; Arecaceae
Description: long non-coding RNA (EGUI_LNC056165)
Source: RNAcentral
UUUAUCUAAAUAUAUCUCAAUCAAAAGGUGAUAAUUCAGUUGAUGAUACAUUAGAAUCUCCUUUCUAAUUAUCAUCCUACAUUGAUCAAAGACUUCCAGAAUUAUCAACCUAUGAGAUCACAUAGGAUGUUCGCUCCCUUUAUUAGGAGUGACUAAUCUCUUAUUGAUCACUCACAACCUCCAUGCAUACUUCAUCACAUCUAGAAUACCUCACAUA